Molecule: ribosomal RNA, 458 nt
Filed under: uncultured bacterium
Lineage: Bacteria
Description: bacterial SSU rRNA
Rfam family: Bacterial small subunit ribosomal RNA
Source: RNAcentral
UCCUACGGGGGGCAGCAGUAGGGAAUCUUCGGCAAUGGACGAAAGUCUGACCGAGCAACGCCGCGUGAGUGAAGAAGGUUUUCGGAUCGUAAAACUCUGUUGUUAGAGAAGAACAAGGACGUUAGUAACUGAACGUCCCCUGACGGUAUCUAACCAGAAAGCCACGGCUAACUACGUGCCAGCAGCCGCGGUAAUACGUAGGUGGCAAGCGUUGUCCGGAUUUAUUGGGCGUAAAGCGAGCGCAGGCGGUUUCUUAAGUCUGAUGUGAAAGCCCCCGGCUCAACCGGGGAGGGUCAUUGGAAACUGGGAGACUUGAGUGCAGAAGAGGAGAGUGGAAUUCCAUGUGUAGCGGUGAAAUGCGUAGAUAUAUGGAGGAACACCAGUGGCGAAGGCGGCUCUCUGGUCUGUAACUGACGCUGAGGCUCGAAAGCGUGGGGAGCAAACAGGAUUAGAUACCC